Molecule: ribosomal RNA, 372 nt
Filed under: uncultured organism
Description: bacterial SSU rRNA
Rfam family: Bacterial small subunit ribosomal RNA
Source: RNAcentral
CAGAGGUCCCAAGCGUUGUUCGGAUUCACUGGGCGUAAAGGGUGCGCACGUGGGUUUGCAAGUUUGAUGUGAAAGCCCCGGGCUUAACCCGGGAAUGGCAUUGAAUACUGCAGAUCUGGAGGAUUGGAGGGGGGACUGGAAUUCUUGGUGUAGCAGUGAAAUGCGUAGAUAUCAAGAGGAACACCAGUGGCGAAGGCGAGUCCCUGGACAAUACCUGACACUGAGGCACGAAAGCUAGGGGAGCAAACAGGAUUAGAUACCCUGGUAGUCCUAGCUGUAAACGGUGCGCAUUUGCUGUAAACGGAAUCGACCCCGUUUGUGGCGAAGCUAACGCGAUAAAUGCGCCGCCUGGGAAGUACGGUCGCAAGAUUA